This 259-nucleotide ribosomal RNA is filed under the name uncultured bacterium. RNAcentral's name for it is "partial 16S ribosomal RNA". It matches the Rfam family "Bacterial small subunit ribosomal RNA", at positions 793 to 1055 of the family's 1533-position model. The record is from RNAcentral.
GUCCGCACUGUAAACGAUGAUUACUCGCUGCUGGGAGGUAACCUUUCAGUGGCUUAGCGAAAGCGAUAAGUAAUACACCUGGGGAGUACGCCGGCAACGGUGAAACUCAAAGGAAUUGACGGGGGCACGCACAAGCGGAGGAGCAUGUGGUUUAAUUCGAUGAUACGCGAGGAACCUUACCAGGGCUUGAAAGUUAGUGACCGACUCUGAAAGGAGUCUUUCCGCAAGGACACGAAACUAGGUGCUGCAUGGCUGUCGU